GGCAUCUAAGCGUGAAGCCCCCCUCAAGAUGAGACAUCACAAGACCCCUUGAAGACCACGAGGUGGAUAGGCGCGAGGUGGAAGUACGGUAACGUAUGGAGCUGACGCGUACUAAUAGGUCGGUUGCUUAUCCUC
Molecule: ribosomal RNA, 135 nt
Filed under: Lachnospiraceae bacterium
Lineage: Bacteria; Bacillati; Bacillota; Clostridia; Lachnospirales; Lachnospiraceae
Description: partial 23S ribosomal RNA
Rfam family: Bacterial large subunit ribosomal RNA
Source: RNAcentral